Molecule: ribosomal RNA, 440 nt
Filed under: uncultured bacterium
Lineage: Bacteria
Description: partial 16S ribosomal RNA
Rfam family: Bacterial small subunit ribosomal RNA
Source: RNAcentral
CCUACGGGUGGCAGCAGUGGGGAAUAUUGCCCAAUGGGGGAAACCCUGAUGCAGCGACGCCGCGUGAAGGAAGAAGUAUUUCGGUAUUUAAACUUCUUUCCGCCGGGGAUCAAAUGGCGGUACCUGACUAACACGCCCAGGCUAACUACUUACCAACAGCCGCGGUACUACGUCGGGGGCAAGCGUUAUCCGGAUUGACUGGGUGUAAAGGGAGCGUAUGCGGUUUAGCAAGUCAGAAGUGAAAGCCCGGGGCUCAACUCCGGGACUGCUUUUGAAACUGUUGCACUAGAUUGCAGGAGAGGUAAGUGGAAUGCGUAGUGUAGCGGUGAAAUGCAUAGAGAUUAGGAGGAACACCAGUUGCGAAGGCGGCUUACUGGACUGUAAAUGACGCUGAGGCUCGAAAGCGUGGGGAGCAGACAGGAUUAGAUACCCCUGUAGUC